GCGCUAACCGCCAAUGAAAAGGCCAAAAUAACUACUUUUAGAAAUGCCAAAUCAAUGGCUAUUUUGAUGAAAUUAGUUUCGGUCAAGUGUCCAUUUAUGUCUUUUUCCCUUCUAAUUAUUGGGUUAGGCCCUGUUACCUUCCUAAAACAAGCCGGGGCCAAGGCCCAUAAUACCAUUUCAUUCCAUAAACAAUCGGAAAAGGAAUACACCUCUCCGCAAUCAAUCAUUCUGCCACUCUCAUCAACAUCUCCACUCUCCGCUUCUAAAUCAGUUCUAGCCGGUGGUGGCGGGGUGAAAUAAGAGCUAAGUGAUAAGUUACUAUCUCUUGGCUCUCUGCUUCCAAAUCAGUUAACUCAACGAGCCAAGGUGCACUCCUCAACCAGCAGCACCGUCUAUGCAUUCGUCAUAUUCAUGGCUAAGUUUUUUUUGGUGAUGCAUACCAUCAUGGUCCUCCAAAGGUGAACUUUUGGCAGGAUCCAAUGAGUCCAUCAAAAUGGAAAGAAGAGCAUGACAAAGAAGACUCUUUAGAUUUAGCAGCAAUGUACAGGUUAAUUGAUCAAGUGUUAACGUUUUGUUGUAGAGUUCUUCGUAAUGUGUCCUGAAUAUUGAGCCAUUUGCUACUCUGCUAUUACCAAUUCAUCAGCAUCAUGUUUUUUUUCCCACAUAUUUGUAACACAUUGUCAUGGUGAUUGCUGUUAGCCCAUAUGUUAUUGGGCCUUUAGUUUAUGGACCUUUAGGUUAUUGGCUAUGUAUAUAUAGCCUACUCUUGCUUUAGUCAGUUUUAUGCUUUUCAGAUUAUAUUGUAAACCUUAGCCUU
Long non-coding RNA from Capsicum annuum, 817 nucleotides. RefSeq lists it as uncharacterized. The record is from RefSeq and is a predicted model, not a curated record. NCBI's taxonomy places the organism in Eukaryota, Viridiplantae, Streptophyta, Magnoliopsida, Solanales, Solanaceae. The transcript is spliced from 4 exons.